CCCUAAGCAUUUUCGUCCAACCUAUAAUCUCUUCACGUUUUUUUUCUCCUUCCUCUCCAGGCCCUAAACCUGCCGCCCCUUCUCCUUUCCUCUCCCAGCCCUAAAUCCAUCGCCCUUCACGACUCGUAGCGAACCAGUCGCAGGGAGGGAGAGAGAUGGCCAACAGAGACCACAAGCGUAGGAGCAACCAGGGGGGAUCAGCAACGGAGGUCACAUUAUCCAGAGGACGAUGAUGAAAAAUCCCCAGCUGGAGGGGCUUUAACCAUCCUCCUUGGAUAGCUUCAAAUCCAUGGAGAACGAUGAUGGAGUUUCUUUGGAAAGUGGCGAAAGAAGUCCUCUGCUGGAUAAGAACUAAUCAUCAAGGCAUUUUGAAGACAAUGGUUCUGAGGAGAUCGAUCAAAGAUCUGAGCCACAAAGUGUAACUUCCUAUCUCCAAGGCACCACCAAUAAUCUUAGCAUUUUCGUUCCUGGAAGGUAUUGCUUUCAAUGGCAUUGGCAUAAACUUAGUUUUGUAUC
Zingiber officinale is the source of this 516-nucleotide long non-coding RNA. RefSeq lists it as uncharacterized. The record is from RefSeq and is a predicted model, not a curated record. The transcript is spliced from 3 exons. Lineage: Eukaryota; Viridiplantae; Streptophyta; Magnoliopsida; Zingiberales; Zingiberaceae.